Molecule: non-coding RNA, 92 nt
Organism: Sturnus vulgaris (Common starling)
Lineage: Eukaryota; Metazoa; Chordata; Aves; Passeriformes; Sturnidae
Source: RefSeq, a predicted model, not a curated record
ACUGCAGCGUAUUCUUGAAGAAGAGGAAAAAAAGAAACAAAAUAACUUUGUCCAUGUCUGCACAGAAUAGCUAAAAGCCAAUAGCAAAGCAA